This 466-nucleotide ribosomal RNA is filed under the name uncultured bacterium. Its description in RNAcentral is "partial 16S ribosomal RNA". It matches the Rfam family "Bacterial small subunit ribosomal RNA", at positions 28 to 507 of the family's 1533-position model. The record is from RNAcentral.
GAUGAACGCUGGCGGCGUGCUUAACACAUGCAAGUCGAACGGAAAGGCCACAGCUUGCUGUGGUACUCGAGUGGCGAACGGGUGAGUAACACAUGGGUGAUCUGCCCUGUACUUCGGGAUAAGCUUGGGAAACUGGGUCUAAUACCGGAUAGGAAUCACAUGUGGGUGUGUGGUUGGAAAGCUUUUGCGGUAUGGGAUGAGCUCGCGGCCUAUCAGCUUGUUGGUGGGGUAAUGGCCUACCAAGGCGUCGACGGGUAGCCGGCCUGAGAGGGUGUACGGCCACAUUGGGACUGAGAUACGGCCCAGACUCCUACGGGAGGCAGCAGUGGGGAAUAUUGCACAAUGGGCGGAAGCCUGAUGCAGCGACGCCGCGUGGGGGAUGACGGCCUUCGGGUUGUAAACUCUUUUCGUCAGGGACGAAGCGAAAGUGACGGUACCUGGUUAAGAAGCACCGGCUAACUACGUG